Gadus morhua (Atlantic cod) is the source of this 1691-nucleotide long non-coding RNA. RefSeq lists it as uncharacterized. Lineage: Eukaryota; Metazoa; Chordata; Actinopteri; Gadiformes; Gadidae. The record is from RefSeq and is a predicted model, not a curated record. The transcript is spliced from 2 exons.
CUCUUACAGAUGGCACAGGAACAGUGGCAUCACAGAGCCUCGUGAUAGAUGAGCCGGUACUGGACCUGAGGCCGGUCUGGCGGAGGGAGGGAUGUUGGCAGCGCAGGAGCCUCCGGGAACGGUGCGUCCGACAGCACUUUCAGGUGAGGAGUCACCUUGUGGCCGAAGGAGCAGUCGCUCCUUCUGCCACUUCAGCAGCUCCUUCUGCUCUCCCUGCUGGCAGUACUGGAACAGCAGCCACACCAGCCAGCCGACAUCAUUCUCCACAAGCCACCUGAAGGUCUGACCGGCGUACUACCCGAACGUGAUGACCAGCUGACCUUUCCACAGCUCAGCCCCCGACCUCUUGGCAGCCGCCUCUGCUGUCUUGAGAUCCAGCCAUUUAGGGUCAACAACAGUGCUGCUGCGGGCCUCUGCCACAGACCUUGCUGCCUCUGUACAGUACAGCCUGGCCUCUCCUUGCCGGUACAAAAUGAUGUUGGGGUACUGGUGUAGCUGUUGAUGGCUGACCAGCGAUGGUUUAGUGGCCAAGCUCUUCCCGCAGACAUCACAGGUAAAGGUCUCCCUGGCGAUGGCAUGGAUCUGGAAUAACACUACUGUUUACCAGGUAUGCAGCGCAUCCCAUGCAACAAGAGAUUAACACGGUCGCCAAAUUGCUUUAUGUUACACUUACUCUCGCAUCAGCUGUUGUCUAAACAGUCACAUUUACCCAAAUCAACACAUAUCCACAUCAAAUUGUCCAAGAAAACGUUUGCAGGUAUGCGACGUAUGCCCUUACUCAUUGUAAACAGUGUCGUUAGCCGCGCCUAGCUAUCGUUACAAAACACACAUUAAUCAGCUUAUUAUUUCAACGACCCCUGGGUACAUAUAGUCAUGCCAUACACCGUUGGAAAGCUUAGAUUACCCCGAUUAAAAGGAGACCACCCACGAGUAAUAUGGUUGCUCGCAGACAAAACGGCGAUAGGUUGACUGAAGUCUACCCUGCAGCUAAAAACGCACCCUCUACGUCUUCCCUUUAUACACAACGACCGUGUUAUGACAAGGUCGAAAUCUUUUCUCUUUCUACAAAAUCGAAACAGCUUAAUACAAACCUUAAAAAAAGGUCGAAUUAUUAACUAGCAAACGGUGAAGGGGAUACAAUUUACCUGAGUGAAACCACGUGCUGUAAGCUAUUUUCUUUUUCAACUCGAGCUCAUUGGCUGCAAUAGAGUUCCGGGUGUUGACGUUGUUGGGGCGGGGAAAUCGUGGGCACCACCAUUUUGGCAGUAUUCGAUAGUAUUGUUGGUUUAUUUAUUUUUUAACAUUUUUUUGGUGAAGCACUGCUUCACCUGUAGUCUUAUAGAAGCCUCCACUGCUCCAAACUCUAUUUGUGAAACAUGCAGACGGCCUAGUGACACUGCCAGCAGGCAGCAGCAAAGAGAUGUAGCGACCUCGGUUUAUUUCUUCAGCUUUCACAUACACACAAACACGCACACAGGGUGCUUGGUCAUUCUUUUGUUUUGUUUUUUCGUUGUCUGUUAAACCGCCACGUGGGGCGACGUGUCUGGGAACCUCGCCUCUUGGUCUGAGCAUGUGUGGCCAUCGCUUCUCGGCCUUUUGGCUAAGAUCAAGUGUAGUAUCUGUUCUUAUCAGUUUAAUAUCUGAUACGUCCCCUACCCGGGGACCAUAUAUUAAAUUGAUUUUUGGAACUG